RNAcentral lists this ribosomal RNA (460 nucleotides) under uncultured bacterium. Its description in RNAcentral is "partial 16S ribosomal RNA". It matches the Rfam family "Bacterial small subunit ribosomal RNA", at positions 338 to 795 of the family's 1533-position model. The record is from RNAcentral.
CCUACGGGUGGCAGCAGUGAGGAAUAUUGGUCAAUGGACGAGAGUCUGAACCAGCCAAGUAGCGUGAAGGAUGACUGCCCUAUGGGUUGUAAACUUCUUUUAUAUGGGAAUAAAAUGUUCCACGUGUGGGAUUUUGUAUGUACCAUAUGAAUAAGGAUCGGCUAACUCCGUGCCAGCAGCCGCGGUAAUACGGAGGAUCCGAGCGUUAUCCGGAUUUAUUGGGUUUAAAGGGAGCGUAGGUGGAUUGUUAAGUCAGUUGUGAAAGUUUGCGGCUCAACCGUAAAAUUGCAGUUGAGACUGGCAGUCUUGAGUACAGUAGAGGUGGGCGGAAUUCGUGGUGUAGCGGUGAAAUGCUUAGAUAUCACGAAGAACUCCGAUUGCGAAGGCAGUUCACUGAACUGCAACUGACACUGAGGCUCGGAAGUGUGGGUAUCAAACAGGAUUAGAUACCCCAGUAGUC